AUUGAACGCUGGCGGCAUGCCUUACACAUGCAAGUCGAACGGCAGCGCGGGAGCAAUCCUGGCGGCGAGUGGCGAACGGGUGAGUAAUAUAUCGGAACGUGCCCUAGAGUGGGGGAUAACUAGUCGAAAGAUUAGCUAAUACCGCAUACGAUCUACGGAUGAAAGUGGGGGAUCGCAAGACCUCAUGCUCGUGGAGCGGCCGAUAUCUGAUUAGCUAGUUGGUAGGGUAAAAGCCUACCAAGGCCACGAUCAGUAGCUGGUCUGAGAGGACGACCAGCCAACCUAGGACUGAGACACGGCCCAGACUCCUACGGGAGGCAGCAGUGGGGAAUUUUGGACAAUGGGGGAAACCCUGAUCCAGCAAUGCCGCGUGUGUGAAGAAGGCCUUCGGGUUGUAAAGCACUUUUGUCCGGAACGAAACGGGCCGAGCUAAUAUCUUGGCCUAAUGACGGUACCGGAAGAAUAAGCACCGGCUAACUACGUGCCAGCCGCCGCAGUAA
RNAcentral lists this ribosomal RNA (500 nucleotides) under uncultured bacterium. RNAcentral's name for it is "partial 16S ribosomal RNA". It matches the Rfam family "Bacterial small subunit ribosomal RNA", at positions 30 to 523 of the family's 1533-position model. The record is from RNAcentral.